RNAcentral lists this ribosomal RNA (492 nucleotides) under uncultured bacterium. RNAcentral describes it as "partial 16S ribosomal RNA". It matches the Rfam family "Bacterial small subunit ribosomal RNA", at positions 29 to 507 of the family's 1533-position model. The record is from RNAcentral.
AGUGAACGCUGGCGGUAGGCCUAACACAUGCAAGUCGAACGGCAGCACAGUAAGAGCUUGCUCUUACGGGUGGCGAGUGGCGGACGGGUGAGGAAUACAUCGGAAUCUACUUUUUCGUGGGGGAUAACGUAGGGAAACUUACGCUAAUACCGCAUACGACCUACGGGUGAAAGCAGGGGAUCUUCGGACCUUGCGCGAUUGAAUGAGCCGAUGUCGGAUUAGCAAGUUGGCGGGGUAAAGGCCCACCAAGGCGACGAUCCGUAGCUGGUCUGAGAGGAUGAUCAGCCACACUGGAACUGAGACACGGUCCAGACUCCUACGGGAGGCAGCAGUGGGGAAUAUUGGACAAUGGGCGCAAGCCUGAUCCAGCCAUACCGCGUGGGUGAAGAGGGCCUUCGGGUUGUAAAGCCCUUUUGUUGGGAAAGAAAAGCAGCAGGUUAAUACCCCGCUGUUCUGACGGUACCCAAAGAAUAAGCACCGGCUAACUUCGUG